Molecule: small nuclear RNA, 117 nt
Filed under: Phascolarctos cinereus (koala)
Lineage: Eukaryota; Metazoa; Chordata; Mammalia; Diprotodontia; Phascolarctidae
Source: RNAcentral
GUGCUCCCUUUGGCAGCACAUAUACUAAAACUGGAACGAUGCAAAAAACCCCCCAAAAAACCAGCACGGCCCGUGUGCAAGAUUAACAUGCAAAUCCAUGGAGCGGUUCACAUUUUU